AAGGAGGGCAAAAAGUCACUUAAGUAUACCUAAAUAUACCCUACCUGACCCUGAGCCUAUGUUACAAGCUAAGAAAGUCAUAUCGUGGUCCUAAGAGCUGUAUGGCGAACUUAAAGCAGUGAAAAUAAGGGCAAGCUUAUCGCAAUAUGUAUGAAUGAGUGUAAAAUUUGUUCUGAGAGUGAUUUUUUAAAAGUAAUCCUUAUACUCAAACUGAAAUCAUUGUGUGAAAAAUGAGGAUGUUGUUUUGAAGUGAGGACACUAGUUGCAAUACCG
RNAcentral lists this unclassified non-coding RNA (273 nucleotides) under Hevea brasiliensis (rubber tree). Lineage: Eukaryota; Viridiplantae; Streptophyta; Magnoliopsida; Malpighiales; Euphorbiaceae. The record is from RNAcentral.